This 253-nucleotide ribosomal RNA is filed under the name uncultured bacterium. Its description in RNAcentral is "partial 16S ribosomal RNA". It matches the Rfam family "Bacterial small subunit ribosomal RNA", at positions 524 to 776 of the family's 1533-position model. The record is from RNAcentral.
UACAGAGGUCUCAAGCGUUGUUCGGAUUCAUUGGGCGUAAAGGGUGCGUAGGCGGUCUGUCGCGUCUGCUGUGAAAACUCGGGGCUUAACCCCGGGCCUGCAGUGGGUACGGGCAGACUAGAGUGCGGUAGGGGAGACUGGAAUUCCUGGUGUAGCGGUGAAAUGCGCAGAUAUCAGGAGGAACACCGGUGGCGAAGGCGGGUCUCUGGGCCGUAACUGACGCUGAGGAGCGAAAGCAUGGGGAGCGAACAGG